Molecule: transfer RNA, 93 nt
Filed under: Thermoproteus tenax Kra 1
Lineage: Archaea; Thermoproteati; Thermoproteota; Thermoprotei; Thermoproteales; Thermoproteaceae
Rfam family: tRNA
About the family: Transfer RNA (tRNA) molecules are approximately 80 nucleotides in length. Their secondary structure includes four short double-helical elements and three loops (D, anti-codon, and T loops).
Source: Rfam by way of RNAcentral
GGACCCGUAGCUCAGCCUGGAUCAGAGCGGCGGCCUGCGGUGGCCGGCGCCGCCGAGAGCCGUAGGUCGUGGGUUCAAAUCCCACCGGGUCCG